RNAcentral lists this ribosomal RNA (820 nucleotides) under uncultured Geobacter sp. RNAcentral's name for it is "bacterial SSU rRNA". It matches the Rfam family "Bacterial small subunit ribosomal RNA", at positions 30 to 827 of the family's 1533-position model. Lineage: Bacteria; Pseudomonadati; Thermodesulfobacteriota; Desulfuromonadia; Geobacterales; Geobacteraceae. The record is from RNAcentral.
CCAACGCUGGCGGCGUGCUUAACACAUGCAAGUCGAACGGAAUUGAGGGGCUUGCUCCUCAAUUUAGUGGCGCACGGGUGAGUAACGCGUGGAUAAUCUACCUGAAGAUCCGGGAUAACAUUUCGAAAGGGGUGCUAAUACCGGAUAAGCCCACGGGGACUUUGGUUCUUGCGGGAAAAGAGGGGGACCUUCGGGCCUCUUGUCAUCAGAUGAGUCCGCGUACCAUUAGCUAGUUGGUGGGGUAAAGGCCCACCAAGGCGACGAUGGUUAGCUGGUCUGAGAGGAUGAUCAGCCACACUGGAACUGAGACACGGUCCAGACUCCUACGGGAGGCAGCAGUGGGGAAUUUUGCGCAAUGGGGGAAACCCUGACGCAGCAACGCCGCGUGAGUGAUGAAGGCCUUCGGGUCGUAAAGCUCUGUCUAGAGGAAAGAAAUGUAUGGGGGCUAAUACCCUUUGUACUUGACGGUACCUCUGAAGGAAACACCGGCUAACUCCGUGCCAGCAGCCGCGGUAAUACGGAGGGUGCGAGCGUUGCUCGGAAUUAUUGGGCGUAAAGCGCGUGUAGGCGGUUUCUUAAGUCUGAUGUGAAAGCCCCGGGCUCAGCCUGGGAAGUGCAUUGGAUACUGGGAGACUUGAAUACGGGAGAGGGCAGUGGAAUUCCUAGUGUAGGAGUGAAAUCCGUAGAUAUUAGGAGGAACACCGGUGGCGAAGGCGGCUGCCUGGACCGAUAUUGACGCUGAGACGCGAAAGCGUGGGGAGCAAACAGGAUUAGAUACCCUGGUAGUCCACGCUGUCAAAGUAGACGGAUUAUUUUUUUU